Molecule: ribosomal RNA, 349 nt
Filed under: uncultured bacterium
Lineage: Bacteria
Description: partial 16S ribosomal RNA
Rfam family: Bacterial small subunit ribosomal RNA
Source: RNAcentral
CCUACGGGAGGCUGCAGUGAGGAAUAUUGGUCAAUGGCCGGAAGGCUGAACCAGCCACGUCGCGUGAGGGAAUAAGGCCCUAUGGGUCGUAAACCUCUUUUGUCAGGGAGCAAAGGCGUCCACGUGUGGACGAGAGGAGAGUCCCUGACGAAAAAGCAUCCGCUAACUCCGUGCCAGCCGCCGCGGUAAUACGGAGGCUGCGAGCGUUAUCCGGAUUUAGUGGGUUUAAAGGGCUCGUAGGCGCAGUGUCAAGUCAGCGGUAAAAUUUCGGGGCUCAACCCCGUCGUGCCGUUGAAACUGACGCCCGUGAGUGAGUGAGAAGUAAGCGGAAUGCGUGGUGUAGCGGUGA